Cygnus olor (mute swan) is the source of this 608-nucleotide long non-coding RNA. RefSeq lists it as uncharacterized. The record is from RefSeq and is a predicted model, not a curated record. NCBI's taxonomy places the organism in Eukaryota, Metazoa, Chordata, Aves, Anseriformes, Anatidae. The transcript is spliced from 2 exons.
AGCCUGUGUUUUUCUUAACCAUAACCCUAACAUUAACUGUAACGCUUGCCGUGCUCUGAGUGCACUAAUAGACAUUGAUGGCCCUGAGCAGCCUCACCUGGGAUGCUGCCCACACACCCUCUGCCCAUGGGGGGGCCCAACAUGCCAUUUAAGCUCAGAUGUGGGUCAUCACUUUUUUUUGUGCUAUGUUGGCAUUCUAUUUGUCCUUCUGUCUUUCUGUUCAUCUGACUUCAUCCCCUGGCUGGACCUUAGGCUUGCAUUGCAGGACCCUGCCUCAUUCAGAGUGCAGGAUGAACAGUGCUUGGAAUGAAUCAGCACAACACAGUGAAAGAGUCUGUUGUUUGCAGGACUCAUCUCAGUUGUUGAGGAAGUUGGAAUAUGUGUUUUGAAUGAGUUGGGAUGUCAAGAAAAGAAAGGAUGAUCUUGUAGCUGAGGCAACUGUAUAUUUCCCUGGAGAAUGGAUUUCUGUCACUGCCUUUGCCAAAAAGAUUCUGUGAGGUACUGUUUUGGGGGAGAAAAGACAUAACUUUUCUCAGGUAUCCAUUAACAGCAAACACAUAAUUUUCUUAGAAAUCUGAGGAUGUGGCUUCACAUGCUGUUGAUCCAGC